This 1136-nucleotide long non-coding RNA is filed under the name Ficedula albicollis (Collared flycatcher). Its description in RNAcentral is "lncRNA (ENSFALG00000027879.1)". The record is from RNAcentral. Lineage: Eukaryota; Metazoa; Chordata; Aves; Passeriformes; Muscicapidae.
CCUGAGACCUCAGUCUUACUUCCAAGCACAUAUAUUCAUAUACUUGAAAGAAGCAAUAUCCAGCAUUUUUUUCAAUGAGGUGCCUUUCCUGAAGGAAAAUAUAAAGAUAUCUGCACAGAGGGUCUUGAGAUGUAUUUGUCAGGGCAACAUGAAUUUCUGUAUUUCCUAAUAUUUAAACAGACAAUUGUGCAAAUUCAGCAUUGAUUUAUCUCAGUUUUUAGUUGACAUUGAGUAUACUUUGCAAUUAUUUACAUGAUGGUGAUCACAGACAUGUAGCAAACAGAUCCAGCCAGUCUUGACCAUCAUCACAAGUAACCUGAGCAUACACAGAUACAUCCAACACAAUCUGGCCAAAUAGUGCACUGAUAUUAGCAGAAAGGAGUUACCCUAUGUCUUUGGUGAAGAGAAAUAGCUUGAAAUCUCUCUUACACGGUAAAAAUGCAUUUUCAUGCCCAAUUUCAUUGCUAGUCUUGUUUUGCUUAUAAUGAGAAGACUUGUGUGGUUUUAUUUUUACUUUCUGCCUCCUUUAUUACUCCUCAGAAACUCAUCCAGCUUUUGGGAGCUGGUGGCCAUGGAGGUGACUGGAGAUGGAAAGCUAAAAGCCUAGAGACUUUCCAGUUAGGGGAAGGUCAGCUGCAUGGUGAAGAGCAAAGAGCCUCUGACUGGGUGAAGUACUCCUGUCAAAACUCAACUUCAUCCAGACGUGCUGUGUCAGGUGUGUUUAAGGAGAAGAAUAUUGAUGGGUAUGAGAGAGCAGCUGGUCCAGCUAUGAGAUGGAAAUCAAUCACUUCAAUCAGUCAGGGGAGGCCCUGUGUCUUUUGGACUCAGGCAAUAUAAGCAGAGGGCUCAGCGUGACGAAGACUUCAAAGAAACAGCCCAGAGUUCACAGAGAGCAAAACUUUAUGCAAGGUCUGGUAAAAUCUCUUGGAGAGCAGCUGAAGAAGACCAGCCCAGAGGAGCAGGCACAGUAACUGCUGGUCAGGAUGGUACUCACUGGCUAAGAGCACAGUGCAAUGCAAAGAGCUUUGUAUCAGAUACUCUGCUGGGAGAACACAGAGUGGUUUAUUAGAGUGACCCACUAUGUGACUGGGAAACCGGGCUGUCCAUAUGCAGGAAUAACUGUGAGUUCAGCUGUC